This 495-nucleotide ribosomal RNA is filed under the name uncultured bacterium. RNAcentral's name for it is "bacterial SSU rRNA". It matches the Rfam family "Bacterial small subunit ribosomal RNA", at positions 395 to 883 of the family's 1533-position model. The record is from RNAcentral.
UGCCGCGUGCAGGAAGAAGGCCUUCGGGUUGUAAACUGCUUUUGUCAGGGAAGAAAUCUUCUGGGCUAAUACCCUGGGAGGAUGACGGUACCUGAAGAAUAAGCACCGGCUAACUACGUGCCAGCAGCCGCGGUAAUACGUAGGGUGCAAGCGUUAAUCGGAAUUACUGGGCGUAAAGCGUGCGCAGGCGGUUAUGCAAGACAGAUGUGAAAUCCCCGGGCUCAACCUGGGAACUGCAUUUGUGACUGCAUAGCUGGAGUGCGGCARAGGGGGAUGGAAUUCCRCGUGUARCAGUGAAAUGCGUAGAUAUGCGGAGGAACACCGAUGGCGAARGCAAUCCCCUGGGCCUGCACUGACGCUCAUGCACGAAAGCGUGGGGAGCAAACAGGAUUAGAUACCCUGGUAGUCCACGCCCUAAACGAUGUCAACUGGUUGUUGGGAAGGUUCCUUCUCAGUAACGUASCUAACGCGUGAAGUUGACCGCCUGGGGAGUAC